UUUUUUCAUUAAAUAGAAACAGUAAUUUAUUUAUAUGCUGCUUUCUUACAUGGUUUCUUACUUGAUUUACCAAUCAUAUACCAUUUGCAUAUGCCUCCCCCCUUUUUUUUUGGAUGGUGACCAAACUUUUUGGAAUUACUGUGAAAAGUCAAAUGAGUCUAAAUUUGUAUUGAGACACCCAGUGAUGCCUUAAUAUUUAAAGGCACCCACCAAUUCAUUUCAGCAACACUGAUACCCACAUUGCUUUCUUGUCACCCAUAUCCUCAUAGGAAAUAGAAACUUGAAAAUUUUAUGAUUUUUUUUGUUUAGAUUUACCUUAAUUAUUAAAAAUUAGUCUCUAGUUUCACUUGCUCUAACUAAAAGAAAGCUAACAUAGAUCUAUUGUUUAUUUGUGUUCCUUAAAUUAGUUGUUUUGGGCAAUAAUGGCCAAAUUCCUCCCACUUUUCCUCCCAAGAAACUGUUCAGCACAAAUUAGUUGUGGCUGGAGAGUCAACCGAGCUCAUUUCCCAGUUAGGUAGCUCAGUAACAGUGAGCUUUUGACUCUUUUCGGUAUUUUUUAGAAAUACUGUGUUCUCUGGUCUUCUUGGGCAGAAGUGUCCCUGUGGCAGUGGUCUGUGAACUGAUGCCUUGUAGAAAAUCCAUCCCAGCAGCACAAGCCACUUGAGAUUACAACUUCAUUAAAACAAAGUUGGCAGGGUUGGUUAUAGCAGAGACUGUGAGGGGUGGACACAGUCCGGCAGCCUCUGUCAUGUCCUAACAUUUGCCACCAAGUGUGGCACUGUGUCAGAUGCUGAUAACGAGGUGCCAAAUACCUGCUAUUGCCUCCUCACCCAAUAGCAGAAUCAGCCUUUGUGGUGAUGUCUUUAUGGAUCCAGGGCCAGUUUAUCAGUUAUUUUACUGAUGUGCCCAAAUUAAGGGCACAACCUCUUUAGAAAGGUCAGUGGUGGCUCAGAGGGGCAAAACCGAGACCUCUCAACACAUCCCAGCAGCGGGAUACAGUGGUGUCCUCCAGCCAUGUCCUCUUACAGGGAGGCUGUAGUAAUACCUCCCUCUGCCCAGCACCUUUUUCCAUGGAAAGAAAAUCAGGGGGUGCUUUCCCUGAUAGACAGGAGCCAUAGCAGGUUUCAGCAGUGGUCACUGAAGCUGCAUGACUGAGGACGAGCAUAGGCCUGAAGUCUUAACAUAACCUCAGAAAGCCUGGGCUCCAUUUCAAAGACGCUGCAGAUCAUGGAUGAAACCUAAACUCCUAGCUCAGUCACACAAGUGAGAUACUUAAAGCUGAACAGUGUG
This 1290-nucleotide long non-coding RNA is filed under the name Strigops habroptila (Kakapo). RNAcentral's name for it is "lncRNA (ENSSHBG00005004421.1)". The record is from RNAcentral. Lineage: Eukaryota; Metazoa; Chordata; Aves; Psittaciformes; Psittacidae.